Macaca fascicularis (crab-eating macaque) is the source of this 1817-nucleotide long non-coding RNA. The record is from Ensembl. NCBI's taxonomy places the organism in Eukaryota, Metazoa, Chordata, Mammalia, Primates, Cercopithecidae.
UUUUUUUUUUUUUUUUUGAGAUGGAAGCUUGUUCUGCCGCCCAGGCUGAAAUGCAAUGGUACAAUCUCAGCUCACUGCAACCUUCACCUCCUGGGUUCAAGUGAUUCUCCUACCUCAGCCCCCUGAGUAGAUGGGAUUACAGGCGUGUGCCACCACGCCACCACACUUGACUAAUUUUUGUAUUUUUAGUAGAGACUGGGUCUCACCAUGUUGGCCAAGCUGAUCUCGACCUCAAAUGAUCCAACUGCCUUGGUCUCUCAAAGUGCUGGGAUUACAGGUGUGAGCCACUGUGCCCAGCCUUGUUAUUUGAACAGUAGCAUAAUUCUUCAUACAAGCACAUACACAAAUAUCAUCCCAUUUUAUUUUCCUAGUGUGAUGGCUAAUAUCAGGUGUUGGCUUAACUGGAUUGAAGGAUGCCUAGAUGGCUGGUAAAGUACUGUUUCUGGUGUGUCUGUGAGGGUGUUGCCAGAGGAGACUGACAUUGAGUCGGUUGACUGGGAGAGGAAGACCCACCCUCAGCAUGGGUGGGCACCAUCUAUGAGCUGCCAGCAGGGCUAGAACAAAGCAGGUGGAGGAAGGUGGGAUGAGCUGGCUUGCUGAGCCUUCUGGCUUUCAUCUUCCUCCCAUGCUGGAUCCUCCCUUCCACUCCUUCUGCCCUUGGACAUCAGACUCCAUGUUCCUUGGCCUUUGAACUCUUGGACGUGCACCAGUGGUUUGCCAGGGGCUCUAGGGCCUUUGGCCACGGACUGAAGGCUGCACUGUUAGCUUCCCUGCUUUUGAGGCUUUCAGACUGGACUGAGCCACUACAUCCCUAGAGCUUGUCAGUAGCCGAGCCAGGUUUCAAAGCCAAGUCACUGGCCUUUCAAUGCAAUCUCCUUCUCAUCCUCCACUCAAUCAAAUGCUAAUCAGGAACAUUUGAGGACUACCUGAAGUGAGCCUUCCAGAACAAUACAGGCUCUUCAUGCCAGUCAAAAUAGUCUAGAACCACUGUCCAGUAGAAAUACAAUGUGAACAGCCAGGCGCUGUGGCUCACACCUGUAAUCCCAGCACUUCCGGAGACCAAGGCAGGCGGAUGAUGAGGUUAGGAGUUCGAGAGCAGCCUGGCCAACAUGGUGAAACUCUGUCUCUACUGAAAAUACAAAAACUUAGCCUUGGUGGAGGGCGCCUGUUAUCCCAGCUAAUUGGGAGGCUGAGGCAGGAGAAUCAUUGGAACCCAGGAAGCAGAGGUUGCAGUGAGCUGAGAUUGCACCACUGCACUCUAGCCUGGGUGACAGCAUGAGACUCCAUCUUGAAAGAAACGAAGAAGGAAGGAAGGAAGGAAGGAAGGAAGGAAGGAAGGAAGGAAGGAAGGAAGGAAGGAAGGAAGGAAGGAGGGAGGGAGGAGGGAGGGAGGGAGAGGGCGGAGGGAAGAAAGAGAGAGAAAGAAGGAAGGAAGGAAGGGAAAGAAAGAAAGGAAGGAAGGGAAGAAGGAAGGAAGGAUAAAAGAAAAGAAAGAGAAAAGGAAGGAAGGAAGGAAGGAAGGAAGGAAGGAAGGAAGGAAGGAAGGAAGGAAGGAAGGAAGGACAGACUAUGUGAACCAUGGGUGUAUUAUUAAAUUUCCUAGCAUCCACACAAAGAGUUUUUUAAAGAGCCACAUAUGGUGGCACGGCCCUGUAAUCCCAGCUACUAGAGAGGCUGAAACAAGAGAAUCCCUUGAGCCUAGGAAUUCGAGGUUGCAGUUAGCUGUGAUUGUGCCCGUGAAUAGCCACUGGACUCCAACCUGGGCAACAUAGUGAGAUUCCCAUCUCUCAAAAAAAUUCAAAAUAAAUAAAAGUUUG